GACGAACGCUGGCAGCGUGCUUAACACAUGCAAGUCGAACGGAAAGGCCCUGCUUGCAGGGUACUCGAGUGGCGAACGGGUGAGUAACACGUGGGUGAUCUGCCCUGCACUUCGGGAUAAGCCUGGGAAACUGGGUCUAAUACCGGAUAGGAGCCAUUUUUAGUGUGAUGGUUGGAAAGUUUUUUCGGUGUAGGAUGAGCUCGCGGCCUAUCAGCUUGUUGGUGGGGUAAUGGCCUACCAAGGCGGCGACGGGUAGCCGGCCUGAGAGGGUGGACGGCCACAUUGGGAUUGAGAUACGGCCCAGACUCCUACGGGAGGCAGCAGUGGGGAAUAUUGCACAAUGGGCGCAAGCCUGAUGCAGCGACGCCGCGGGGGGGAUGACGGCCUUCGGGUUGUAAACUCCUUUCGCUAGGGACGAAGCUUUUUGUGACGGUACCUAGAUAAGAAGCACCGGCUAACUACGUG
RNAcentral lists this ribosomal RNA (465 nucleotides) under uncultured bacterium. Its description in RNAcentral is "partial 16S ribosomal RNA". It matches the Rfam family "Bacterial small subunit ribosomal RNA", at positions 28 to 507 of the family's 1533-position model. The record is from RNAcentral.